Molecule: ribosomal RNA, 208 nt
Filed under: uncultured bacterium
Lineage: Bacteria
Description: partial 16S ribosomal RNA
Rfam family: Bacterial small subunit ribosomal RNA
Source: RNAcentral
UACGUAGGGUGCGAGCGUUGUCCGGAAUUAUUGGGCGUAAAGGGCUCGUAGGCGGUCUGUCGCGUCGGGAGUGAAAACUCAGGGCUUAACCCUGAGCCUGCUUCCGAUACGGGCAGACUAGAGGUAUGCAGGGGAGAACGGAAUUCCUGGUGUAGGCGGUGGAAAUGCGCAGAUAUCAGGAGGAACACCGGUGGCGAAGGCGGUUCUC